RNAcentral lists this long non-coding RNA (233 nucleotides) under Elaeis guineensis (African oil palm). RNAcentral describes it as "long non-coding RNA (EGUI_LNC073231)". Lineage: Eukaryota; Viridiplantae; Streptophyta; Magnoliopsida; Arecales; Arecaceae. The record is from RNAcentral.
CAUCUAGGUUGUAGAUGAUUGUGUUCCAUACAAGUAUAUAAAUUAUAAAAUGAUAAAUAUUAUCUGACAGAUUCAUCAUAAGGAAUAUAUCUUCUAAAAUAGAACUUAUAUGUUAUGAUGAAGUCUUUAGAGCUACUUUCAAAAUAAUAAAAGAGAAUUUAUCAUGUGGUUCUUAAAUUCUGCUCGUGAUCAAAUAAUACAAUUGUCAUAAGGACGAUAAUUGUAUCGAGUAU